GCAGUCUGCAACUCGACUGCAUGAAGCCGGAAUCGCUAGUAAUCGCGGAUCAGAAUGCCGCGGUGAAUACGUUCCCGGGUCUUGUACACACCGCCCGUCACACCAUGGGAGUCGGAAAUGCCCGAAGCCGGUGGCCUAACCGAUAAGGGAGGAGCCGUCGAAGGCAGGUCUGAUGACUGGGGUGAAGUCGUAACAAGGUACC
RNAcentral lists this ribosomal RNA (202 nucleotides) under uncultured bacterium. RNAcentral's name for it is "partial 16S ribosomal RNA". It matches the Rfam family "Bacterial small subunit ribosomal RNA", at positions 1300 to 1500 of the family's 1533-position model. The record is from RNAcentral.